GGAGUGAGCUGUCCUACCGCUGCGGUAUUUUUACCGGAGAGGAAAGUCCGGGCAGCGCAGAGCGCCGUACUUCCUAACAGGAAGGCAAAAAGUUGGGAACGGCUUUUUUGACAGCAAGUGCCACAGAAAUGAUACCGCCUUGGCAUGUUUUUUAUAGGUUGAGGUAAGGGUGAAAUGGUGGGGUAAGAGCCCACCGACCGGCUGGCGACAGGCGGGGCAAGGUAAACCUUACGGGCUGAAAGAUCAAAUAGGUGUUGGUUUGCGGGGCUGCUCGUCCCCGUUCUUCGGAACGCCGGCACGGGUAGAUCGUUAGAGGUCCAGGGCGACCUGGAUCCUGGAUAAAUGGUAGGAGUUUUCGGGCACUCAGGUGCACGGAGAAACAGAAUCCGGCUUAUAGGCUUGCCCCUUUU
This 410-nucleotide RNase P RNA is filed under the name Dyadobacter sp. Leaf189. RNAcentral's name for it is "Bacterial RNase P class A". It matches the Rfam family "Bacterial RNase P class A". From Rfam's summary of the family: Ribonuclease P (RNase P) is a ubiquitous endoribonuclease, found in archaea, bacteria and eukarya as well as chloroplasts and mitochondria. Its best characterised activity is the generation of mature 5'-ends of tRNAs by cleaving the 5'-leader elements of precursor-tRNAs. Lineage: Bacteria; Pseudomonadati; Bacteroidota; Cytophagia; Cytophagales; Spirosomataceae. RNAcentral also lists the same sequence under 1 other name. The record is from Rfam by way of RNAcentral.